Long non-coding RNA from Salvia miltiorrhiza (redroot sage), 1583 nucleotides. RefSeq lists it as uncharacterized. The record is from RefSeq and is a predicted model, not a curated record. The transcript has 3 exons. NCBI's taxonomy places the organism in Eukaryota, Viridiplantae, Streptophyta, Magnoliopsida, Lamiales, Lamiaceae.
UUACCAGUGUAACACCCCGUACUUUUCCUCAUGUUGUAGGAUAGUGUCUUAACACUAAUAAGAGUACUGAGAUGUCGAAAUACGAGACUAUUUUUUUUUAUGAGCAGAUAAGACAGAUUGUCUUUUAAAUAGAGAUACGAGUGAAUAAACCGAUGAUGGAAUUAGAGUGUGAGAUUUGAGAAAUGAGUUGAGAUAGAGAUGCUGAUUGAAUUGAGCUGAGAUUUUAUUUUAUUUCCAACUACCGGGAAUAGAGUUACCGGAUACUGAAUUAUUAGAGAUUGACUGUCCUAUUAAGAAAAAUAGGAAUAAUGAGUUGGAAAUAGAGUCGAGGAAGAAAGAGUGAGAAACCUUGAUAAAUUGAGUCGGUCAAAGAGACGUCUAGCUUAUUUGAGUCUGCCGACUGUUUUGAUGUGAUGUUAUGUGAAUUUACGUGACUGAGUGAUUAUGUGAUUUUGUGACGUGUGUCAAUAUGACCAUAUUAUUAUGAUUUUUAUUUGAAACCUUAGCACUUGGGAAUUUUUAUUAAGUUUCCAAAGAAAGUGCGGCUUAUUUUUACCAAGAAAUCGAAUGAUGCCGGUUUAUGGAAAUUUUUCCAAGCAUAAUAUUUUUUUUAAAUUAUUUUUCCUAUGAUGAGGAAUAUUAUAAUUGAGUGAGUGCACUAAUAUUAGUACUAUAAUUAUUUUAUUUUGGUCACAUGAAUAAUUAUACUAUGGUACUUUAUUAAUGAGUAAUAUUUCCAUAGUUUUUGUGAUUAUUAUUUAAUCACCCUUCUCACAUGAUUUAUUUUUAAUUUCCCAAGUAUGAGACUAAUUACUAAAAUUUACUAAGUGUAGAGAUUGAGAGAGUAGAGAUUUAGAGAGUAGAGAUUAGAGAGAGUGUAGAGAUUAUGAGAGAGAGAGAGAUCAAGGCAAUUAAUGCCAAUAUUCACUAAGAUUGCCAAAUCUUCUAUAAGAUUAGCAAAAUCCUCUCAAAUCUUUCAAGAUAAUUCUCUCUCUCACUCCACCCCAAAUUUUCGAUCACCACCUUCUCCCUCCCUUCAUCUCUCUACUUUCCACCAUUGACAACCAUUAACAAGACCUUCGGAGCUUCACAAAAUCACACCAAAAACACAAAUCACCCUCUAAAUCUUACACUAAACACUUCCACCUCCUUGAAUCCAAGAAGAUCUUUGGAGUUUGAUCUUCAAAGUUAGAGAGAGAAAGUUUGGUUUUGGGUGUAAGUUUGGACACGAGCAGAGCAAGGAAGUAAGUAACUCCGCUUUGACGGGAGUGUUUGAGUAAGGUCUUCAGGCUAAGCGAGGAGCGAGAUUGGUCUGGUGCUAGUGGGGGAAACGUUUCAAUCGAUGUAAUUAUGUUUUCGUAUUGCCUUCAUGUUAAUAGAGUCUUGAGGAUGGAGAUACUUUGUUUUCUUUUGAAAUCAAGCAAUUUACUCACGGUUAUGUGUCUUCAUACAUGUAAUCGAUUCGCCUUUUGCUGCGAUACUCUGCAUUUUAUGAUUCCUUAUGAAAAAUGAGCUAUACCCGUUUUGUUUUUGUUCGUGAAAUUCCUGAUAAUUAAAAAGUUAUAACGACGUUGACGAUUUUA